UACGUAGGGUCCGAGCGUUGUCUGGAAUUACUGGGCGUAAAGAGCUCGUAGGUGGUUUGUCGCGUUGUUCGUGAAAACUCACAGCUCAACUGUGGGCGUGCGGGCGAUACGGGCAGACUUGAGUACUGCAGGGGAGACUGGAAUUCCUGGUGUAGCGGUGGAAUGCGCAGAUAUCAGGAGGAACACCGGUGGCGAAGGCGGCUCACUGGUCCGGUACUGACGCUGAGGUGCGAAAGCGUGGGGAGCGAACAGG
RNAcentral lists this ribosomal RNA (253 nucleotides) under uncultured bacterium. RNAcentral describes it as "partial 16S ribosomal RNA". It matches the Rfam family "Bacterial small subunit ribosomal RNA", at positions 524 to 776 of the family's 1533-position model. The record is from RNAcentral.